Molecule: long non-coding RNA, 1386 nt
Organism: Austrofundulus limnaeus
Lineage: Eukaryota; Metazoa; Chordata; Actinopteri; Cyprinodontiformes; Rivulidae
Exons: 4
Source: RefSeq, a predicted model, not a curated record
UUUGCAAUGAUUAGACAUGUUUUUAUUAUUGUCAUCAGUGAUUAUCUCAAUUUUGGCUAAAAGAAUUGACAAAAUAGAGAUAAUAUACUUCAGCAUUCGUCAAAUGACGUCACACGAAAAGUGACAGGUGUCCCGCCCGUAUAUGGUCAACUUCCGGCCCCUCCUUCCUCGGGGGAUUUCCAUAUAUGUCCUUCCGGCCCCUCCUUCCUCGGGGGACUUCCAUGUAUGGUCAACUUCCGUUUCAUGACUUCCUCUUUCGAUUUACCGUAACUGUCCCCCUCCCUCUUUCCCCCUUGACUUACAGUAACGUUACCCCUCCCUUUUUCCCCCUCGAUUUACCGUAAUCGUCCCCUCCCUCUUUCCCCCUCGAUGUACUGUAAGCCUUGACCGUAAACAUCCUGAUUUUGAACAGAUGUCCACAGCCCGCCUGUCUGUUCACCCUCCCUCUUUCCUGUUCGUGACUUCCUGCCUCCCUGAAAACUGUCAGGUCGAGAAAGUUUUCAUCAAACUGUUCCAUCGUCCAAUCAGCGGUUAGGGUUAGGCUUUAGACCCACCCCUCAGCCAAUCAGCUCGUGUUUAAAGCAUUAGAUCCUGCCCCUCCUCGGUUCGUGAUGCGCUUAAAAGAACGCGUCUCAUUCAGUCAGUACUUCCAUCGAUGAGAAGACACCUGCUGUGUUCCAGACCCGUCAGUACUUGCAUCGGCGAUAAGAAGAACCCCCUGCACGACAGCUACAGCAACAGAAGUAAAUUUUAAAGGUUCGUAAAUUUUUAUUGUGUUUUAUUCUGUUUAAUGUAUUUAUUUAGUUUUUACAUGUACUCUGUGUUGUCUGUCAUCAGCGAGAAGACCCGUCGCAGUGUUCCUGCAGCAGCGUUACCCAACACCAGCACCAAACGUAAAGUAAAUUUAAAGCGAAAAGAAGCCCUGCCGUUGUGUUCCAGCAGCCUUGCGCAGCAUCAGCAGCAGAAGCGGAGUUUUUUUUUUUUUUUUUUGCACAAACUAAAUUAACAGAAAAACCGCAAUCAUGUCUAAGAGAAGCAGACCUGGUCUCCUCAGGUCCUGCAGACCUGGACUCCUCAGGUCCCGCAGACAUGGUCUCAUCAGGUCCUGGAGACCUGGUCUUGUCAGGUCCUGCAGACCUGGUCUCCUCAGGUCCCACAGACCUGGUCUCCUCAGGUCCCACAGACCUGGUCUCAUCAGGUCCUGGAUGUUCACAGGCUGGAUGCUUCAGAGGGAGACGUGGACCUGUGCUGUAAAACAUGAAAGCUGGAGGGUGAUAUGUGAGACCGUUAAUAAAAAAGGUUAUUACAGGUGGAUUACCAAGAUCACAGAACCCACACCUCAUGCUGAGAAGUCCUCACUCCAAGUUGGGUCAGAAAACAAAGAAC